GAAAAACAGAUGGGGGUUC
This 19-nucleotide unclassified non-coding RNA is filed under the name Mus musculus (house mouse). RNAcentral describes it as "oocyte_clustered_small_RNA5630". Lineage: Eukaryota; Metazoa; Chordata; Mammalia; Rodentia; Muridae. The record is from RNAcentral.